UCGAGGAGCCCUACGUCCUGCGAGUGAACGUGGCCCUCACCGCGCUCUACGCCAUCGCGUGCGUCGCGUUCGUCGUCGGCUUCUGCCUCCUGGG
This 94-nucleotide microRNA precursor is filed under the name Petromyzon marinus (sea lamprey). RNAcentral describes it as "microRNA pma-mir-4562 precursor". The record is from miRBase by way of RNAcentral. Lineage: Eukaryota; Metazoa; Chordata; Hyperoartia; Petromyzontiformes; Petromyzontidae.